Molecule: non-coding RNA, 107 nt
Organism: Nicotiana sylvestris (wood tobacco)
Lineage: Eukaryota; Viridiplantae; Streptophyta; Magnoliopsida; Solanales; Solanaceae
Source: Rfam
AUGCCAUGGUGCGGACAUAUGACCAGCAUCCCUUUAAAACGCUCUCAUGUUUCAUGCAAUAUUUUCGUUGGUCUCUGUUUAAAACUCAAAAUGUCAUCAAUCUGUUG